Molecule: RNA transcript, 2356 nt
Organism: Mus musculus (house mouse)
Lineage: Eukaryota; Metazoa; Chordata; Mammalia; Rodentia; Muridae
Gene: Efhc1
Gene name: EF-hand domain (C-terminal) containing 1
Exons: 11
Source: RefSeq, marked validated
ACCUGGCCUCCGCCUCCCUUUCCCCGCCCCCUAACAUCCUCCCCUCCUCCCCGCCGCUCCUCCCCUCUCUCGACUAGUGUGUUUGGCGUUACCAGGGAGUCUGGAGAGGCCCGCGAGUGCAGUUUGUUGCCAGGGUAACCCGAGCGGCAAAAGGCAACCGAGGUGGCAGCUGCAGGGCAGCGAUGGGGACCAACCCGGUGCACGGCCUGCCCUUUCUCCCGGGCUCGUCCUUUACAGACUCCACGAAAACAGCAUUCCACCGAAGCCAGACACUCAACUACAGGAACGGCUAUGCAGUUGUCCGACGUCCCACCAUGGGGAUAGGUGGAGACCGGCUCCACUACAACCAGCUGUCUCAGGCCGAGCUGGAUGAACUGGCCAAUAAGGCACCCAUCUUAACUUACGGGCCACUCAAGCAAGCCCCACUUGCAGAGUUUGUUCCUGCGCAUGUGGCUUUUGACAAAAAGGUGCUGAAAUUUAGUGCCUACUUCCAAGAAGAUGUUCCCAUAUCAAUGGAGGAGCAUUACCGAAUCCGCCACGUGAACAUUUACUACUACCUAGAAGAUGACAGCAUGUCUGUCAUCGAGCCCGUAGUGGAGAACUCUGGGAUCCCACAAGGCAAGCUAAUCAAACGCCAGCGGUUCACCAAGAAUGAUAUGGGAGACCACUACCACUGGAAGGACCUCAACCGUGGAAUCAACCUUACAGUGUACGGCAAAACCUUCCGAAUUGUUGACUGUGACCGAUUCACUCAGGACUUUUUGGAAAGCCAAGGCAUUGAAUUAAAUCCAUCAGAGAAGAUACCCCUGGAUCCUUACACUCAACUCCGGAAAGAACCUGUGCGCAAAUAUGUCACCCCGUCAGACUUUGACCAACUGAAACAGUUUCUCACCUUUGACAAACAGGUCCUUCGAUUCUAUGCCAUCUGGGACGACACGGAUAGCUUGUUCGGGGAAUGUCGUCACUACAUCAUUCAUUACUACCUCAUGGAUGACACCGUGGAGAUCAGAGAGGUCCACGAACGGAACAACGGGAGAGACCCCUUCCCACUCCUCAUGAACCGACAGCGUAUGCCCAAAGUUUUGGUGGAGAAUGCAAAGAAUUUCCCGAAGUGUGUGCUGGAAAUCUCAGACCAAGAGGUGCUGGAGUGGUACACUGCCAAGGACUUCAUUGUGGGGAAGCCGCUCACCAUCCUGGGGAGGACCUUCUUCAUCUACGACUGUGACCCAUUCACACGACAGUUCUACAAAGACAAGUUUGGAAUGCCUGACUUACCACCAGUUGAUGUGACCAAGAAGGAGCCACCUCCAGUAAAACAGGAGUUGCCUCCUUAUAAUGGCUAUGGACUAAUUGAAGACUCUGCUCAGAAUUGUUUUGCUCUCAUUCCUAAAGCUCCCAGAAAAGAUGUCGUUAAAAUGCUGAUGAAUGACAAUAAGGUGCUCCGCUACCUGGCGGCCCUGGAAUCCCCUAUCCCAGAAGACAAAGACCGUCGGUUUGUCUUCUCUUAUUUUCUUGCCACGGAUAUGAUCAGUAUCUUUGAGCCACCUGUUCGAAAUUCUGGGAUCAUCGGGGGCAAAUUCCUGGGCAGGACUAAAGUUGUUAAAUCAUUCUCUCCAGUUGACAACCCCAUCUACUACUCACCAAGUGACUUCUUCAUCGGUGCCGUGAUUGAGGGGUUGGCAUCAUUUUGCUCCUGCUUGCAUGAGAGAAACAAAGCUGAAUUGAGUGUGAUGCUCCUCUCUCCUCAGUGUUCGGCCAUCGGUUCGUCAUCCUCGAUACAGAUGAGUAUGUUUUAAAAUACAUGGAGAGCAACGCUUCCCAGUAUUCACCAGAAGCCCUGGCCUCAAUUCAGAACCGGAUCCAGAAGCCGGAGCUUCCCGCACCAGAACUGGAAAGCAAGCAAGCUACAGGAGAACCCAUGGUGCAGGGUACAGAGGAAUCCAAGGUGCAGGACUUGGAUGCACUGAUAGACCAAAUCCAUAUGCACCUGAAAUACAAUUCAUGCAAAGAAAACCUCCGUGAAACAUUUCAAAUGUAUGACAAGGAUGAAUCGGGAUAUGUGGACAGAGAGACGUUCUUUAAAAUCUGUGAAACUCUUAAUGUCCCGGUCGAUGACUCGUUGAUUAAGGAGUUGAUCAGGCUGUGCACCCACGGAGAAGGCAGGAUUAACUACUAUAACUUUGUUCGAGCUUUCUCGAACUGACCUGAACGAGAGAAUGCGACAACAUUUUUGACACUGAGCCGACAUUGAGAAAUCUACCACCCAAGCCUUUCAAUAACUCCGGAAGUGGUAUUUCUUUUCCCACUCUUCUAUUUCACUAUUACUCAAGUCUAAAUUAAUAUUCAAAGAAUUGAA